GGAAAAGCAGGGGAUCGAAAGACCUUGCGCUUUUGGAGCGGCCGAUGUCUGAUUAGCUAGUUGGUGGGGUAAUGGCCUACCAAGGCAACGAUCAGUAGUUGGUCUGAGAGGAUGGCCAACCACACUGGGACUGAGACACGGCCCAGACUCCUACGGGAGGCAGCAGUGGGGAAUUUUGGACAAUGGGGGAGGCCCUGAUCCAGCAAUGCCGCGUGAGUGAAGAAGGCCUUCGGGUGGUAAAGCUCUUUCAGUUGAGAAGAAAAGGUUGUGACUAAUAAUCAUAAUUUAUGACGGUAUCAACAGAAGAAGCACCGGCUAACUACGUGCCAGCAGCCGCAGUAAUACGUAGGGUGCAAGCGUUAAUCGGAAUUACUGGGCGUAAAGGGUGCGCAGGCGGUUAUGUAAGUCAGUUGUGGGUCCCCGGGCCUAACCUGGGAAUGGCGUUUGAAAC
Molecule: ribosomal RNA, 451 nt
Filed under: uncultured Nitrosomonas sp.
Lineage: Bacteria; Pseudomonadati; Pseudomonadota; Betaproteobacteria; Nitrosomonadales; Nitrosomonadaceae
Description: bacterial SSU rRNA
Rfam family: Bacterial small subunit ribosomal RNA
Source: RNAcentral